Molecule: long non-coding RNA, 422 nt
Organism: Nematostella vectensis (starlet sea anemone)
Lineage: Eukaryota; Metazoa; Cnidaria; Anthozoa; Actiniaria; Edwardsiidae
Exons: 2
Source: RefSeq, a predicted model, not a curated record
GACAAAGCUAGCGUCAUGAAAACAGCUCUUAUGUAUGGACAUUAAGACCACAGAAAUCUCUACUUACGGACACUCUCCUAAGCGGACAGCUAUUUAUAUGGACAUUUUCAUUUGCGUUCAGCUGUACUCAUGGAUAGAAAAGUCUGACUGGCCAUGGCAAAUGAUAAAAUAAUUAAACACGCUUGGAGAGGUACGUGGAGGCCAUAUCGAAGACUCUAAGGUAAUGUUGUGGUUGGUAUUCGAUGUUUAUUUCGUUGUUAAUUCCGGCGUUACGCUUCGGAGCUUUGCGUGGCUGAACAGAUAAAUUACACUUCCCUCUACUAACAAAAUAUUCUAUUUGCCGGAUAUUCUUCCAAGGUGAUGACUGUGACUGUGACUAGGAAUAAGCAGAGACCACCAGUAGCAAAAAUAUCCGAGAUAAA